CCUACGGGUGGCAGCAGUGGGGAAUAUUGGACAAUGGGGGAAACCCUGAUCCAGCGACGCCGCGUGAGUGAAGAAGUAUUUCGGUACGUAAAGCUCUAUCAGCAGGAAAGAAAAUGACGGUACCUGACUAAGAAGCCCCGGCUAACUACGUGCCAGCAGCCGCGGUAAUACGAAGGGGGCAAGCGUUAUCCGGAUUUACUGGGUGUAAAGGGAGCGUAGGCGGCAGCGAAAGUCUGGAGUGAAAGGCCGGGGCCCAACCCCGGCACUGCCCUGGAAACUGGGAAGCGGGAGUGCAGGAGAGGUAAGCGGAAUUCCUGGUGUAGCGGUGAAAUGCGUAGAUAUCAGGAGGAACACCGGCGGCGAAGGCGGGUUACUGGACUGUAACUGACGUUGAGGCUCGAAGGCGAGGGGAGCAAACGGGAUUAGAUACCCGGGUAGUC
RNAcentral lists this ribosomal RNA (440 nucleotides) under uncultured bacterium. Its description in RNAcentral is "partial 16S ribosomal RNA". It matches the Rfam family "Bacterial small subunit ribosomal RNA", at positions 338 to 795 of the family's 1533-position model. The record is from RNAcentral.